RNAcentral lists this long non-coding RNA (292 nucleotides) under Urocitellus parryii (Arctic ground squirrel). Its description in RNAcentral is "lncRNA (ENSUPAG00010004515.1)". The record is from RNAcentral. Lineage: Eukaryota; Metazoa; Chordata; Mammalia; Rodentia; Sciuridae.
UGCACCUCCUCCCUCAUCCCAGGGAAGAGAAUGCGCCGGGCCUGCAGACUGAGCCAUCAGGUGCAGCUGGUCAGUGCUGAGCUGGGGCCACUCGGCUCCCCGGGGCUGGCGUGGAGAGGGCCAGAUUGGGUGCCUGUCCUAACAGAGAUCCUGUUGAUUGGAAAUACUUGAAAUACUGAGCAUCAGACAUCGUCUGAGGAUUCAUAAAUGAUAUAGAUGCAGUAGCCAUCCAGCUCAUUAGAAAAACCAGCUGAGCACAUCUAAAAGAGCCGUGGAGUUUUCAGACUCUGUC